GUGGGGAAUAUUGGACAAUGGGGGGAACCCUGAUCCAGCCAUGCCGCGUGUGUGAAGAAGGCCUUUUGGUUGUAAAGCACUUUAAGCGAGGAGGAGGCUACCGAGAUUAAUACUCUUGGAUAGUGGACGUUACUCGCAGAAUAAGCACCGGCUAACUCUGUGCCAGCAGCCGCGGUAAUACAGCGGGUGCAAGCGUUAAUCGGAUUUACUGGGCGUAAAGCGCGCGUAGGUGGCCAAUUAAGUCAAAUGUGAAAUCCCCGAGCUUAACUUGGGAAUUGCAUUCGAUACUGGUUGGCUAGAGUAUGGGAGAGGAUGGUAGAAUUCCAGGUGUAGCGGUGAAAUGCGUAGAGAUCUGGAGGAAUACCGAUGGCGAAGGCAGCCAUCUGGCCUAAUACUGACACUGAGGUGCGAAAGCAUGGGGAGCAAACAGGAUUAGAAACCCCUGUAGUCC
This 451-nucleotide ribosomal RNA is filed under the name uncultured bacterium. Its description in RNAcentral is "partial 16S ribosomal RNA". It matches the Rfam family "Bacterial small subunit ribosomal RNA", at positions 354 to 796 of the family's 1533-position model. The record is from RNAcentral.